Molecule: ribosomal RNA, 514 nt
Filed under: uncultured Nitrospira sp.
Lineage: Bacteria; Pseudomonadati; Nitrospirota; Nitrospiria; Nitrospirales; Nitrospiraceae
Description: bacterial SSU rRNA
Rfam family: Bacterial small subunit ribosomal RNA
Source: RNAcentral
GCCUGACGCAGCGACGCCGCGUGGGGGAUGAAGGUCUUCGGAUUGUAAACCCCUUUCGGGAGGGAAGAUGGGAUGGGGUAACCCAUUCGGACGGUACCUCCAGAAGCAGCCACGGCUAACUUCGUGCCAGCAGCCGCGGUAAUACGAAGGUGGCAAGCGUUGUUCGGAUUUACUGGGCGUACAGGGAGCGUAGGCGGUUGGGUAAGCCCUCCGUGAAAUCUCCAGGCUUAACCUGGAAAAGUGCAGAGGGGGACUGCUCAGCUAGAGGAUGGGAGAGGAGCGCGGAAUUCCCGGUGUAGCGGUGAAAUGCGUAGAGAUCGGGAGGAAGGCCGGUGGCGAAGGCGGCGCUCUGGAACAUUUCUGACGCUGAGGCUCGAAAGCGUGGGGAGCAAACAGGAUUAGAUACCCUGGUAGUCCACGCCUUAAACGAUGGAUACUAAGUGUCGGCGGGUUACCGCCGGUGCCGCAGCUAACGCAGUAAGUAUCCCGCCUGGGAAGUACGGCCGCAAGGUUG